GACGAACGCUGUCGGCGUGCUUAACACAUGCAAGUCGAACGAAGUGGCGAACGGGUGAGUAACGCGUAAUCAACCUGCCCUUCAGAGGGGGACAACAGUUGGAAACGAUUGCUAAUACCUCAUACUGAAGGUGGGGAUUGCGUCUGAUUAGCUAGUUGGAGGGGUAAAGGCCCACCAAGGCGAUGUUCAGUAGCCGGGCUGGAAGGGGUGACGGCCAAAUUGGGAAUGAGAAACGGCUCAGACCCCUACGGGGGGGAGCAGGUGGGAAUUUUCCGCAAUUGAGGGAAAGCUGACGGAACAAAGCCGCGUGAUGGAUGACGGCCUUCGGGUUGUAAAGCUCUGUUAAUCGGGACGCGGUACCUGAAUAGAAAGCCACGGCUAACUACGUGCCAGCAGCCGCGGUAAUUC
RNAcentral lists this ribosomal RNA (408 nucleotides) under uncultured bacterium. RNAcentral describes it as "partial 16S ribosomal RNA". It matches the Rfam family "Bacterial small subunit ribosomal RNA", at positions 28 to 526 of the family's 1533-position model. The record is from RNAcentral.